GGGCUUGCUUCGGCAGCACAUAUACUAAAAUUAGAACGAAACAGAGAUUAGCACGACCCCUGCACAAGGAUGACAUGAAAUUUGUUAAGUGUUCCAUAUUUUU
Homo sapiens (human) is the source of this 103-nucleotide small nuclear RNA. The record is from Ensembl. Lineage: Eukaryota; Metazoa; Chordata; Mammalia; Primates; Hominidae.